This 896-nucleotide ribosomal RNA is filed under the name uncultured archaeon. RNAcentral's name for it is "bacterial SSU rRNA". It matches the Rfam family "Archaeal small subunit ribosomal RNA", at positions 13 to 884 of the family's 1478-position model. The record is from RNAcentral.
CCUGCCGGACCCUACUGCUAUCGGGGUGGGACUAAGACAUGCAAGUUGAGCGUCUCUAGGCUAUGGUAGAGACGCGGCAUACGGCUCAGUAGCACGUGGCCAACCUACCCUUAGGACGGGGACAACCCCGGGAAACUGGGACUAAUAACCGAUAGAUUAGGAGGCCUGGAAUGGUUCUUAGUCAAAAGGGCGUUGAAACCAUGCUUUUCAACGUCGCCUAAGGAUGGGGCCGCGCCCGAUCAGGCUGUUGGUGGGGUAAUGGCUCACCAAACCUAUAACCGGUGCGGGCCGUGAGAGCGGGAGCCCGGAGAUGGGCACUGAGAUAAGGGCCCAGGCCCUACGGGGCGCAGCAGUCGCGAAAACUCCGCAAUGCGCGAAAGCGUGACGGGGCUACCCCGAGUGCCGUCCGCUGAGGAUGGCUUUUCCCCGGUGUAAUGAGCCGGGGGAAUAAGGAGAGGGCAAGUCUGGUGUCAGCCGCCGCGGUAAUACCAGCUCUCCGAGUGGUAGGGACGAUUAUUGGGCUUAAAGCGUCCGUAGCCGGCUUAGCAAGUCUCCUGUUAAAUUCAGCGACCUAAUCGUUGAGCCGCGGGAGAUACUACUAGGCUAGGAGGCGGGAGAGGCCGACGGUAUUCUCGGGGUAGGGGUGAAAUCCUAUAAUCCCGGGAGGACCACCAGUGGCGAAGGCUGUCGGCUAGAACGCGCUCGACGGUGAGGGACGAAAGCUGGGGGAGCGAACCGGAUUAGAUACCCGGGUAGUCCCAGCUGUAAACGAUGCGGGCUAGGUGUUGGGGUGGCUACGAGCCACUUCAGUGCCGCAGGGAAGCCAUUAAGCCCGCCGCCUGGGGAGUACGGCCGCAAGGCUGAAACUUAAAGGAAUUGGCGGGGGAGCACCACAA